CUACGGGGCGCUCCAGUGGGGAAUAUUGCACAAUGGAGGAAACUCUGAUGCAGCAACGCCGCGUGGAGGAUGACACUUUUCGGAGCGUAAACUCCUUUUAUAUAGGAAGAAGAUGACGGUACUAUAUGAAUAAGCGCCGGCUAACUCCGUGCCAGCAGCCGCGGUAAUACGGAGGGCGCAAGCGUUACUCGGAAUCACUGGGCGUAAAGAGCGUGUAGGCGGAUUGAAAAGUCAGAAGUGAAAUCCUAUAGCUUAACUAUAGAACUGCUUCUGAAACUCUUAAUCUAGAAUAUGGGAGAGGUAGAUGGAAUUUCUGGUGUAGGGGUAAAAUCCGUAGAGAUCGGAAGGAAUACCGAUUGCGAAGGCGAUCUACUAGAACAUUAUUGACGCUGAGACGCGAAAGCGUGGGGAGCAAACAGGAUUAGAUACCCGGGUAGUC
Molecule: ribosomal RNA, 439 nt
Filed under: uncultured bacterium
Lineage: Bacteria
Description: partial 16S ribosomal RNA
Rfam family: Bacterial small subunit ribosomal RNA
Source: RNAcentral